UGGGGAAUCUUGGACAAUGGGCGCAAGCCUGAUCCAGCCAUGCCGCGUGAGUGAAGAAGGCCUUCGGGUUGUAAAGCUCUUUUACCAGGGACGAUAAUGACGGUACCUGGAGAAUAAGCCCCGGCAAACUUCGUGCCAGCAGCCGCGGUAAUACGAAGGGGGCUAGCGUUGUUCGGAAUUACUGGGCGUAAAGCGCACGUAGGCGGAUUGUUAAGUCAGAGGUGAAAUCCCGGUUAGCUCAACUUCGGAACUGCCUUUGAUACUGGCAAUCUCGAGUCCGGAAGAGGUUAGUGGAAUUCCCAGUGUAGAGGUGAAAUUCGUAGAUAUUGGGAAGAACACCAGUGGCGAAGGCGGCUAACUGGUCCGGUACUGACGCUGAGGUGCGAAAGCGUGGGGAGCAAACAGGAUUAGAUACCCAAGUAGUCCCU
This 428-nucleotide ribosomal RNA is filed under the name uncultured bacterium. RNAcentral describes it as "bacterial SSU rRNA". It matches the Rfam family "Bacterial small subunit ribosomal RNA", at positions 355 to 798 of the family's 1533-position model. The record is from RNAcentral.